RNAcentral lists this ribosomal RNA (504 nucleotides) under uncultured Alphaproteobacteria bacterium. RNAcentral describes it as "bacterial SSU rRNA". It matches the Rfam family "Bacterial small subunit ribosomal RNA", at positions 9 to 524 of the family's 1533-position model. Lineage: Bacteria; Pseudomonadati; Pseudomonadota; Alphaproteobacteria. The record is from RNAcentral.
GAGUUUGAUCCUGGCUCAGGACGAACGCUGGCGGCGCGCUUAACACAUGCAAGUCGAGCGAGAAUCAGGACUUCGGUCCUGAGGACAGCGGCGAACGGGUGAGUAACACGUGGGUAAUCUGCCCUCGAUUCUGGGAUAGCCCGGGGAAACCCGGAUUAAUACCGGAUAGCCUUUUGAGCUCUCGGGCUUGAAAGAAAAGGUAGCUUCGGCCUCCGAUCGAGGAUGAGCCCGCGGUGGAUUAGCUUGUUGGUGGGGUAAUGGCCUACCAAGGCGACGAUCCAUAGCUGGUCUGAGAGGACGAUCAGCCACACUGGGACUGAGACACGGCCCAGACUCCUACGGGAGGCAGCAGUGGGGAAUAUUGGACAAUGGGCGCAAGCCUGAUCCAGCCAUGCCGCGUGAGUGACGAAGGCCUUAGGGUUGUAAAGCUCUUUUGGCGGGGAAGAUAAUGACGGUACCCGCAGAAUAAGCUCCGGCUAACUUCGUGCCAGCCGCCGCCGUAAU